Molecule: ribosomal RNA, 722 nt
Filed under: Staphylococcus aureus
Lineage: Bacteria; Bacillati; Bacillota; Bacilli; Caryophanales; Staphylococcaceae
Description: bacterial SSU rRNA
Rfam family: Bacterial small subunit ribosomal RNA
Source: RNAcentral
AAAAGUGAAAGACGGUCUUGCUGUCACUUAUAGAUGGAUCCGCGCUGCAUUAGCUAGUUGGUAAGGUAACGGCUUACCAAGGCAACGAUGCAUAGCCGACCUGAGAGGGUGAUCGGCCACACUGGAACUGAGACACGGUCCAGACUCCUACGGGAGGCAGCAGUAGGGAAUCUUCCGCAAUGGGCGAAAGCCUGACGGAGCAACGCCGCGUGAGUGAUGAAGGUCUUCGGAUCGUAAAACUCUGUUAUUAGGGAAGAACAUAUGUGUAAGUAACUGUGCACAUCUUGACGGUACCUAAUCAGAAAGCCACGGCUAACUACGUGCCAGCAGCCGCGGUAAUACGUAGGUGGCAAGCGUUAUCCGGAAUUAUUGGGCGUAAAGCGCGCGUAGGCGGUUUUUUAAGUCUGAUGUGAAAGCCCACGGCUCAACCGUGGAGGGUCAUUGGAAACUGGAAAACUUGAGUGCAGAAGAGGAAAGUGGAAUUCCAUGUGUAGCGGUGAAAUGCGCAGAGAUAUGGAGGAACACCAGUGGCGAAGGCGACUUUCUGGUCUGUAACUGACGCUGAUGUGCGAAAGCGUGGGGAUCAAACAGGAUUAGAUACCCUGGUAGUCCACGCCGUAAACGAUGAGUGCUAAGUGUUAGGGGGUUUCCGCCCCUUAGUGCUGCAGCUAACGCAUUAAGCACUCCGCCUGGGGAGUACGACCGCAAGGUUGAAACUCAAA